Molecule: transfer RNA, 543 nt
Filed under: uncultured cyanobacterium
Lineage: Bacteria; Bacillati; Cyanobacteriota
Description: partial 16S-23S ribosomal RNA intergenic spacer
Rfam family: tRNA (bases 212-284)
Source: RNAcentral
CAGGGAGACAACAAAAUGUUUAAUAUUAUUAUUUUGUCACCUUAGGUCGAUCGGUAUCUCACGUUCUUAAUUUAUUAAGAAUUUCAUUUCCUAAGUUUUUCUAGGUCACACCCAUUAUUUUUCCUGGGCCAUUAGCUCAGGUGGUUAGAGCGCACCCCUGAUAAGGGUGAGGUCCCUGGUUCAAGUCCAGGAUGGCCCAUAUCUCUAUGUUGGGGGUAUAGCUCAGUUGGUAGAGCGCCUGCUUUGCAAGCAGGAUGUCAGCGGUUCGAGUCCGCUUACCUCCACUGAUUACCACCUCUUCCAUAAUUUGAAGAAAGGAAAUUUUUUGAGUUGUGAUCAAGUUCUGAACGAAUCUAGCUUCCUAAUGAAAGCAUUAAGAUGCUGGACUCAUUGAAUUCAUUUCAUUGUUUUCAGAGAACCUUGACAACUGCAUAGAUUAUUUUUUUAAAGACAAUAAGCAUCUUUAAUGAUGCAGAUUUUUUAUUUGUGCGAAUGCAUUAAUAACAAUUCUAUUAAGCUGAUGCUUCAAUUUUUGAAGUUAUU